GACGAACGCUGGCGGCGUGCCUAAUACAUGCAAGUCGAGCGAAGAGGCUCGGCGCUUGCACCAAUUUCAAGAGCAGCGAACGGGUGAGUAACGCGUGGGAAAUCUGCCUUUCAGCGGGGGACAACAUUGGGAAACGAGUGCUAAUACCGCAUAACAACUUUAAACAUAAGGUUUAAUGGUGAAAGACGCAAUUGCGUCACUCAAUGAUGAUCUCUCGGCGUAUUAGCUAGGUGGUGAGGUAAAGGGUCACCAAGGCGAAGAUACCUAGACGCCCUGAGAGGGGGGUCGGCCGGAUUGGGACUGGGACACGGCCCAAACUCCUACGGGAGGGAGCAGUAGGGAAUCUUCGGGCAGGGGCGGAAGUCUGACCGAGCAACGCCGCGGGAGGGAAGAAGGUUGUCGGGUGGGAAAACUCGGUUGGUAGGGAAGAACGUUGGUGAGAGUGGAAAGCACAGCAAGUGACGGUAACUACCCAGAAAGCGACGGCUAACUACGUG
This 497-nucleotide ribosomal RNA is filed under the name uncultured bacterium. Its description in RNAcentral is "partial 16S ribosomal RNA". It matches the Rfam family "Bacterial small subunit ribosomal RNA", at positions 28 to 507 of the family's 1533-position model. The record is from RNAcentral.